GUAUAACCUCCCAUUGUAGUUUAAGGUGAAACUUAGUUUACGAACUGUCAUAUUAGAAAUUAUAGCAGGAAUUGCAGACACUAAGUCUGGACAAAACUAAGAGAAAACCCUUUGAAGUGAAAGAAAACUUAAGUUAUGGCAACUAUAAAGAUAAAGCAAAAUGACGUCAAAAUAGCCACCAAGAAAAGUUAACUCUUUCCUGGAU
Molecule: non-coding RNA, 205 nt
Organism: Pelobates cultripes (western spadefoot toad)
Lineage: Eukaryota; Metazoa; Chordata; Amphibia; Anura; Pelobatidae
Source: the annotation of a GenBank genome assembly